GCUUUAAUAGUUUAAAUAAAAUAUUAUAUUGUGGAUAUAAAGAUAUAUAAAUGUAAUUUAAGGCA
Molecule: transfer RNA, 65 nt
Filed under: Pseudoniphargus longipes
Lineage: Eukaryota; Metazoa; Arthropoda; Malacostraca; Amphipoda; Allocrangonyctidae
Description: tRNA-His
Source: RNAcentral